GACGGAAGGUGCAAGCGUUGCUCGGAAUCACUGGGCGUAAAGGGUGCGUAGGCGGCCGCGCAAGUCUGGCGUGAAAGCCCCGGGCUCAGCCCGGGAAGGGCGCUCGAAACGGCGCGGCUCGAGUGCCGGAGGGGAGAGUGGAAUUCCUGGUGUAGCGGUGAAAUGCGUAGAUAUCAGGAAGAACACCAAUGGCGAAAGCAGCUCUCUGGGACGGUACUGACGCUGAGACGCGAAAGCGUGGGGAGCGAACAGG
This 253-nucleotide ribosomal RNA is filed under the name uncultured bacterium. Its description in RNAcentral is "partial 16S ribosomal RNA". It matches the Rfam family "Bacterial small subunit ribosomal RNA", at positions 524 to 776 of the family's 1533-position model. The record is from RNAcentral.